This is a non-coding RNA of Triticum urartu, 170 nucleotides long. NCBI's taxonomy places the organism in Eukaryota, Viridiplantae, Streptophyta, Magnoliopsida, Poales, Poaceae. The record is from Rfam.
UUUGUACUCCCUCCGUCCCAAAAUUCUUGUCUUAGAUUUGUCUAAAUACGGAUGUAUACUCCCUCCGUCCCAAAAUUAUUGUCUUAGAUUUUUCUAAAUACGGAUGUGUCAAGAUACAUCCGUAUUUAGACAAAUCUAAGACAUGAAUUUUGGGACAGAGGGAGUAUAUA